Molecule: non-coding RNA, 175 nt
Organism: Chloroflexi bacterium GWB2_54_36
Lineage: Bacteria; Bacillati; Chloroflexota
Source: Rfam
UUAGCCCUGCUGUGUUCGUGAUGCAGCACGACCGGUUUUGAGCCAACACCCCCUUAAAGGGACCCACAUCAAUCCUGUGAAGCGAUAGGCUUCGGCCAAGGCUGAUCAGGGCUGGAGGGCCCCGCCUGCGAAAGCAGGUUCAAAACUAUGCGGCACACGGCACGGCGGGGUCUUU